GCGAUCGUACAAGGGGGAAGCCAAGGGGAAACCCUAAGUCUAAAGAAUCUCACAAAUCUUACAAAUUGAAGGGAUUAAAAGCUGAAUUCUUGAUUCAGGAGUUAGGAAUUAGGAUCUCCUAACUAUAUUUGAUCUCAAGAACAAAGAAAGAGGAAGGAGCAAGUUACUCCAAGUCGUAAGGGACACAAGACCACGGAACAAAGAAAGAGGAAGGAGCAAGUUACUCCAAGUCGUAAGGGACACAAGACCACGGUAAGUUCAUAUGAACUUCAUUUUCUCUACUUGUAGACUUGCGAAUGUUAGUUUGGGUAAUUAAAUCCUAGUGUGGAAUUUUUACGCUUGUUCAUGGUAAAAUUGUGUUAUGUUGAGUAUUGGUAAUGGAUAGGAAGUGUAUUAGCAAUGGAUGCAUUUUAACCCGCUUCAAGUGGGUCGAAAUAUUAAAAAGGAAGGAUAAUGUAAUGGUUUAAGUAAAGACUUGUAGAUAACGAGUCGGAAUGAGGAA
This is a long non-coding RNA of Helianthus annuus (common sunflower), 502 nucleotides long. RefSeq lists it as uncharacterized. The transcript is spliced from 3 exons. The record is from RefSeq and is a predicted model, not a curated record. Lineage: Eukaryota; Viridiplantae; Streptophyta; Magnoliopsida; Asterales; Asteraceae.